ACCCGCUGAACUUAAGCAUAUCAAUAAGCGGAGGAAAAGAAACCAACAGGGAUUGCCCUAGUAACGGCGAGUGAAGCGGCAAUAGCUCAAAUUUGAAAUCUGGUCUCCUUUGGGGGCCCGAGUUGUAAUUUGCAGAGGGCGCUUUGGCGUCGGCAGCGGUCUAAGUUCCUUGGAACAGGACGUCACAGAGGGUGAGAAUCCCGUACGUGGUCGCCUGCCUUCGCCGAGUAAAGCCCCUUCGACGAGUCGAGUUGUUUGGGAAUGCAGCUUUAAAUGGGAGGUAAAUUUCUUCUAAAGCUAAUUACUGGCCAGAGACCGAUAGCGCACAAGUAGAGUGAUCGAAAGAUGAAAAGCACUUUGGAAAGAGAGUCAAACAGCACGUGAAAUUGUUGAAAGGGAAGCGCUUGCAGCCAGACGUGCCCGUGGUGGUUCUCCGCCGCGGGCAGGCCAGCAUCAGUUCGAGCGGUCGGAUAAAGGCCUCUGUCACGUAUCUGCCCUCGGGCAGACCUUAUAGCGGAGGCGUAAUGCGAUCAGUCUUGGACUGAGGUCCGCGCAUCUGGUAAGAUGCUGGCGUAAUGGCUGUAAUGGGCCCGUCUUGAAACACGGACC
RNAcentral lists this ribosomal RNA (609 nucleotides) under Dendryphiella sp. RNAcentral describes it as "partial large subunit ribosomal RNA". It matches the Rfam family "Eukaryotic large subunit ribosomal RNA", at positions 23 to 667 of the family's 3401-position model. The record is from RNAcentral. Lineage: Eukaryota; Fungi; Ascomycota; Dothideomycetes; Pleosporales; Dictyosporiaceae.